AGUGAACGCUGGCGGCGUGCUUAACACAUGCAAGUCGAACGAGAACGGAUUAUAGCUUGCUAUAAUUGUCAGCUAAGUGGCGCACGGGUGAGUAAUGUAUAGGUAAUAUGCCUCUUACUAAGGGAUAACAAAUGGAAACGUUUGCUAAUACCUUAUACUCCUUAUUAACAUAAGUUAAUAAGGGAAAGAUUUAUUGGUAAGAGAUUAGCCUGUAUUGUAUCAGUUAGUUGGUGGGGUAAUGGCUUACCAAGACUAUGACACAUAACUGGUUUGAGAGGAUGAUCAGUCACACUGGAACUGAGACACGGUCCAGACUCCUACGGGAGGCAGCAGUGGGGAAUAUUGCACAAUGGACGAAAGUCUGACGCAGCAACGCCGCGUGGAGGAUGACACAUUUCGGUGCGUAAACUCCUUUUAUAUGAGAAGAUAAUGACGGUAUUAUAUGAAUAAGCACCGGCUAACUCCGUGCCAGCCGCCGCCCGUAA
RNAcentral lists this ribosomal RNA (485 nucleotides) under uncultured bacterium. Its description in RNAcentral is "partial 16S ribosomal RNA". It matches the Rfam family "Bacterial small subunit ribosomal RNA", at positions 29 to 523 of the family's 1533-position model. The record is from RNAcentral.